CACGGACCAAGGAGUCUAACAUGUGCGCGAGUCAUUGUACUCGACUAGAUACACAGGCGCAAUGAAGGUGAACGCAGGUCUGACGGAGCGUUUCGGCAAGACCGGCCCGUCCCAUAUCGCGUGCGUCGAUGUGGAUGGAGCAAGAGCGCAAAUGUUGGUACCCGAAAGAUGGUGAACUAUGCCCGAGUAGGACGAAGCCAGAGGAAACUCUGGUGGAGGUCCGUAGCGAUUC
This 232-nucleotide ribosomal RNA is filed under the name Achaetobonellia sp. RG-2015-1. RNAcentral's name for it is "partial 28S rRNA". It matches the Rfam family "Eukaryotic large subunit ribosomal RNA", at positions 660 to 886 of the family's 3401-position model. Lineage: Eukaryota; Metazoa; Annelida; Polychaeta; Echiuroidea; Bonelliidae. The record is from RNAcentral.